GCUCGCAUUGUAUAGUGGCUAGUACACAUCCCUGUCACGGAUGAGACCCGGGUUCAAUUCCCAGUGCGGGCG
Molecule: transfer RNA, 72 nt
Filed under: archaeon
Lineage: Archaea
Description: tRNA-Asp
Rfam family: tRNA
About the family: Transfer RNA (tRNA) molecules are approximately 80 nucleotides in length. Their secondary structure includes four short double-helical elements and three loops (D, anti-codon, and T loops). Further hydrogen bonds mediate the characteristic L-shaped molecular structure. tRNAs have two regions of fundamental functional importance: the anti-codon, which is responsible for specific mRNA codon recognition, and the 3' end, to which the tRNAs corresponding amino acid is attached (by aminoacyl-tRNA synthetases). tRNAs cope with the degeneracy of the genetic code in two manners: having more than one tRNA (with a specific anti-codon) for a particular amino acid; and 'wobble' base-pairing, i.e. permitting non-standard base-pairing at the 3rd anti-codon position.
Source: RNAcentral